UCAUAUGCUUGUCUCAAAGAUUAAGCCAUGCAUGUCUAAGUAUAAGCAAUUAUACCGUGAAACUGCGAAUGGCUCAUUAAAUCAGUUAUCGUUUAUUUGAUAGUACCUUACUACUUGGAUAACCGUGGUAAUUCUAGAGCUAAUACAUGCUGAAAACCCCAACUUCGGGAGGGGUGUAUUUAUUAGAUAAAAAACCAACGCCCUUCGGGGCUUCUUGGUGAUUCAUGAUAACUUCACGGAUCGCAUGGCCUUGCGCCGGCGACGGUUCAUUCAAAUUUCUGCCCUAUCAACUUUCGAUGGUAAGGUAUUGGCUUACCAUGGUUUCAACGGGUAACGGGGAAUUAGGGUUCGAUUCCGGAGAGGGAGCCUGAGAAACGGCUACCACAUCCAAGGAAGGCAGCAGGCGCGCAAAUUACCCAAUCCCGACACGGGGAGGUAGUGACAAUAAAUACUGAUACAGGGCUCUUUUGGGUCUUGUAAUUGGAAUGAGUACAAUUUAAACCUCUUAACGAGGAACAAUUGGAGGGCAAGUCUGGUGCCAGCAGCCGCGGUAAUUCCAGCUCCAAUAGCGUAUAUUAAAGUUGUUGCAGUUAAAAAGCUCGUAGUUGAAACUUGGGCCUGGCUGGCAGGUCCGCCUCACCGCGUGUACUUGUCCGGCCGGGCCUUUCCUUCUGGAGAACCUCAUGCCCUUCACUGGGUGUGCUGGGGGACCAGGACUUUUACUUUGAAAAAUUAGAGUGUUCAAAGC
Molecule: ribosomal RNA, 748 nt
Filed under: uncultured fungus
Lineage: Eukaryota; Fungi
Description: SSU rRNA
Rfam family: Eukaryotic small subunit ribosomal RNA
Source: RNAcentral